Long non-coding RNA from Apodemus sylvaticus (European woodmouse), 402 nucleotides. RefSeq lists it as uncharacterized. The record is from RefSeq and is a predicted model, not a curated record. The transcript is spliced from 4 exons. NCBI's taxonomy places the organism in Eukaryota, Metazoa, Chordata, Mammalia, Rodentia, Muridae.
GAGCCACUUCCUUUCCCGGCCGCGCUGUAGAGCGUGAGCGGCUUGUGCUCCAUGGCGGGCUGCGGAGGCCGGGGGCGGCGGGCCCCGGCGUGUCCUCGGGCGUUUCCAGGUGCAACAAAACCUGCCUCCUUUGAAGGUACUUGAACAAAUGUUUUCCAAAAACUUGCCAUGAAACGUAAUUGGAACAAUCUACUAGGACUACAUUUGCCAAUAACAAGCAUGUAGGUGGCUGAAGUGAUUGUCCAUCUUUGGGAGCUGUGAUGUUUAAAAACCCUUCAUUUUUGGGGGUGCAGCCUACAUUUUGGAAGGUAAAAUGAAGACUUGGUCAAGAAACCAUGAACAGAAGCGAAUGGUGAAAUUAGUAUUUAAUUUGUUAUUAAUAAAUAAGACAUAAACAGUUAA